UUUCAUGGUGUAGUUGGUUAUCACGUUCGCUUUACAUGCGAAAGGUCUCCAGUUCGAACCUGGAUGAAAA
RNAcentral lists this transfer RNA (70 nucleotides) under Rozella allomycis CSF55. RNAcentral describes it as "tRNA-Val". It matches the Rfam family "tRNA". From Rfam's summary of the family: Transfer RNA (tRNA) molecules are approximately 80 nucleotides in length. Their secondary structure includes four short double-helical elements and three loops (D, anti-codon, and T loops). Further hydrogen bonds mediate the characteristic L-shaped molecular structure. tRNAs have two regions of fundamental functional importance: the anti-codon, which is responsible for specific mRNA codon recognition, and the 3' end, to which the tRNAs corresponding amino acid is attached (by aminoacyl-tRNA synthetases). tRNAs cope with the degeneracy of the genetic code in two manners: having more than one tRNA (with a specific anti-codon) for a particular amino acid; and 'wobble' base-pairing, i.e. permitting non-standard base-pairing at the 3rd anti-codon position. The record is from RNAcentral. Lineage: Eukaryota; Fungi; Rozellomycota.